This 495-nucleotide ribosomal RNA is filed under the name uncultured bacterium. RNAcentral describes it as "partial 16S ribosomal RNA". It matches the Rfam family "Bacterial small subunit ribosomal RNA", at positions 28 to 506 of the family's 1533-position model. The record is from RNAcentral.
GAUGAACGCUGGCGGCGUGCCUAAUACAUGCAAGUCGAGCGAACAGACGAGGAGCUUGCUCCUCUGACGUUAGCGGCGGACGGGUGAGUAACACGUGGAUAACCUACCUAUAAGACUGGGAUAACUUCGGGAAACCGGAGCUAAUACCGGAUAAUAUAUUGAACCGCAUGGUUCAAUAGUGAAAGACGGUUUUGCUGUCACUUAUAGAUGGAUCCGCGCCGCAUUAGCUAGUUGGUAAGGUAACGGCUUACCAAGGCAACGAUGCGUAGCCGACCUGAGAGGGUGAUCGGCCACACUGGAACUGAGACACGGUCCAGACUCCUACGGGAGGCAGCAGUAGGGAAUCUUCCGCAAUGGGCGAAAGCCUGACGGAGCAACGCCGCGUGAGUGAUGAAGGUCUUCGGAUCGUAAAACUCUGUUAUUAGGGAAGAACAAAUGUGUAAGUAACUAUGCACGUCUUGACGGUACCUAAUCAGAAAGCCACGGCUACUACGU